GGGGCGCCGGCCGGGGCAGGGCCGGUCCCGGCCGGCCGUCGUUGGCGCUGGCGCGUCUUUGCGCCGGUCCGGAGCUCCUGCCCGUCACCGGCCCCGCAUGUUGUCAGCAGCCGCUGGCGGCCCGGGCCUUAUGGACCGCCAGACACGUCACGGCCGCCGCCGGCCAAUCAGCGGCUCGCGGUCCCCUGGAAACCAUUAAGCAUCGGGCCGGUCCCGGAGAGUGCGCCCAGACCGCUGAUGGAGCCUCAGCCGCGGGACCGCGCCGCCCGCCGGAGCCCCUCCUGCUUCGGCGAUGUUGUAAGGAUGAGAUGAGAUCAUUGUUUCCAAAGGGCUGUGGAAAAAUACGAGGGCGAUACAAGUACAGAGGAGCAGCCUCGAGGGGCCCGGAGGUAGCCGGUGGAAGACACGGGAGGGAGAGACGUCCUUCUGGCUCCAGCCCGCGGAGAGGCUGGGGUGGUCCUGCCUUUUUGUCCCCCCUGCCCCUCAUCCCCCCCCCCUCAACUUUCCUCCCUCCCCCCAGUCACCCUGACUUUCUGGGUAAGGGGCGGAGGAGCCCUGAGCUCGUACCGUGUCUGAAGGUCAUUUUUCAUCAUCAUUCAGCCUGCAAAGUCCAAAGGGACGAGUGUGGGAGGUCCCCCCUCAAAAAAAAAUAGGGGUUGGGGUGAGCACUUGUGACAGCCUGGGGGUAGAUGAGGUGGGGAGGGGGCUUCUACAUCCGGUGGGGUGGGAG
Molecule: long non-coding RNA, 730 nt
Organism: Ornithorhynchus anatinus (platypus)
Lineage: Eukaryota; Metazoa; Chordata; Mammalia; Monotremata; Ornithorhynchidae
Exons: 3
Source: RefSeq, a predicted model, not a curated record